Molecule: long non-coding RNA, 328 nt
Filed under: Gossypium barbadense (sea-island cotton)
Lineage: Eukaryota; Viridiplantae; Streptophyta; Magnoliopsida; Malvales; Malvaceae
Description: long non-coding RNA (GBAR_LNC001100)
Source: RNAcentral
CGAUCAAAGCUCUUAACAAUGGCUUCCACCAUCUUCAUUCAAACUCCGUUUCAAUCCAAAUCUUUGAACAAAUCCUUGAAUACCCAUUUUGUUCCUUCCUUUAAACUCCCUGUUUCCCUCUCUUUCAAACCCCGGACCGCUGCCUUCUCCAAACGCGUCCAUAUCCGAGCUGGUUUGAUCGAACCGGACGGUGGGAAACUUGUCGACCUCCACGUGUCGAAACCGGAGCGGGAGUUGAAGAAGCGGGAAGCGGCUUCGUUGCCCAAGGUGAAGCUUACUCCGAUCGACGUGCAAUGGGUUCACGUUUUGAGUGAAGGCUGGGCUAGCC